CCGGCGCACGGGUGAGUAACGCGUAUGCAACUUACUAUCAGGAGGGGGAUAACCCGGCGAAAGUCGGACUAAUACCGCAUGAAGCAGGGAUCCCGCAUGGGAAUAUUUGCUAAAGAUUCAUCGCUGAUAGAUAGGCAUGCGUUCCAUUAGGCAGUUGGCGGGGUAACGGCCCACCAAACCGACGAUGGAUAGGGGUUCUGAGAGGAAGGUCCCCCACAUUGGUACUGAGACACGGACCAA
This 240-nucleotide ribosomal RNA is filed under the name uncultured bacterium. RNAcentral describes it as "partial 16S ribosomal RNA". It matches the Rfam family "Bacterial small subunit ribosomal RNA", at positions 95 to 334 of the family's 1533-position model. The record is from RNAcentral.